Molecule: ribosomal RNA, 261 nt
Filed under: uncultured bacterium
Lineage: Bacteria
Description: partial 16S ribosomal RNA
Rfam family: Bacterial small subunit ribosomal RNA
Source: RNAcentral
GAUGAACGCUAGCGGCAGGCUUAACACAUGCAAGUCGAGGGGUAGAAGGAGCUUGCUCCUUUGAGACCGGCGCACGGGUGCGUAACGCGUAUGCAAUCUACCUUUUGCAGAGGAUAGCCCAGAGAAAUUGGAUUAAUACCUCAUAGUAUGUGAGGAUGGCAUCAUUUUCACAUUAAAGUCACAACGGACAAAAGAUGAGCAUGCGUCCCAUUAGCUAGUUGGUAAGGUAACGGCUUACCAAGGCUACGAUGGGUAGGGUCC